UUAAGUUCAGCGGGUAGUCCUACCCGAUCCGAGGUCAAGUUUUUAGAUGUAGCUUUUUUCAAAAGCAUGUAAGGGCUGUGGUCCGCCGCUGCAGCUCUCCUAAGCGAGAAGGGUUGUUCUACUGCGCUAGGGGCCGCCGCGAGUCCGCCGCUUCAUUUCGGCUCGGGUCGCCUAAAAAUAAGGCGCCCAGUGCCAACGCC
RNAcentral lists this unclassified non-coding RNA (200 nucleotides) under fungal sp. RNAcentral describes it as "partial internal transcribed spacer 2". Lineage: Eukaryota; Fungi. The record is from RNAcentral.